Molecule: ribosomal RNA, 253 nt
Filed under: uncultured bacterium
Lineage: Bacteria
Description: partial 16S ribosomal RNA
Rfam family: Bacterial small subunit ribosomal RNA
Source: RNAcentral
UACAGAGGGUGCGAGCGUUAAUCGGAGUUACUGGGCGUAAAGGGCGCGUAGGCGGUUAUAUAAGUGAGAUGUGAAAUCCCUGGGCUUAACCUAGGAACUGCAUCUCAUACUGUAUGACUGGAGUAUUGUAGAGGGUAGUGGAAUUUCCGGUGUAGCGGUGGAAUGCGCAGAUAUCAGGAGGAACACCAAUAGCGAAGGCAGCUCGCUGGGACGUUACUGACACUGAGGCGCGAAAGCGUGGGGAGCGAACAGG